Molecule: ribosomal RNA, 117 nt
Filed under: Paramormyrops kingsleyae
Lineage: Eukaryota; Metazoa; Chordata; Actinopteri; Osteoglossiformes; Mormyridae
Source: RNAcentral
ACCAGCAGCCAUAACACCUGUAGCUUAGACCAGCUACUCCAUCUGAAGCCAAGCAGGUUUGUGACUGACCAGUACUUAGAUGAGAGACCAACUAGGAAGGCUGGAUCGCUGCUGGAA